GAUGAACGCUGGCGGCAUGCCUAAUACAUGCAAGUCGAACGAGAGGAAGGAAAGCUUGCUUUUCUGAAUCUAGUGGCGAACGGGUGAGUAACACGUAGGUAACCUGCCCAUGUGCCCGGGAUAACUUCUGGAAACGGAUGCUAAAACCGGAUAGAUAGCAGACAAGCAUUUGACUGCUAUUAAAGUGGCUAAGGCCAUGAACAUGGAUGGACCUGCGGUGCAUUAGCUAGUUGGUGAGGUAACGGCCAACCAAGGCGACGAUGCAUAGCCGGCAUGGGAGGGCGGACGGCCACAAUGGGACUGAGACACGGCCCAAACUCCUACGGGGGGCAGCAGUAGGGAAUCUUCGUCAAUGGGGGGAACCCUGAAUGAGCAAUGCCGCGUGAGUGAGGAAGGUCUUCGGAUCGUAAAGCUCUGUUGUAAGAGAAAAACGACAUUCAUAGGGAAUGAUGAGUAAGUGAUGGUAUCUUACCAGAAAGUCACGGCUAACUACGUGCCAGCCGCCGCCGUAA
This 512-nucleotide ribosomal RNA is filed under the name uncultured bacterium. Its description in RNAcentral is "partial 16S ribosomal RNA". It matches the Rfam family "Bacterial small subunit ribosomal RNA", at positions 28 to 523 of the family's 1533-position model. The record is from RNAcentral.